GACGAACCGCGCGAACGUUGUUCGGAAUCACUGGGCUUAAAGGGCGCGUAGGCGGGUGUUCAAGUCCGUGGUGAAAUCCUCCGGCUCAACCGGAGAACUGCCUCGGAUACUGGAUGUCUCGAGGGUGGCAGGGGUAUGCGGAACUAUCGGUGGAGCGGUGAAAUGCGUUGAUAUCGAUAGGAACUCCGGUGGCGAAGGCGGCAUACUGGUCCACUUCUGACGCUGAGGCGCGAAAGCCAGGGGAGCAAACGGG
RNAcentral lists this ribosomal RNA (253 nucleotides) under uncultured bacterium. Its description in RNAcentral is "partial 16S ribosomal RNA". It matches the Rfam family "Bacterial small subunit ribosomal RNA", at positions 524 to 776 of the family's 1533-position model. The record is from RNAcentral.